GCAGUCGAACGCUUUGUCUUUAAUUGAUCUGACGAGCUUGCUCUGAUUUGAUUUUAUCUGACAAAGAGUGGCGAACGGGUGAGUAACACGUGGGUAACCUACCUCUUAGCAGGGGAUAACAUUUGGAAACAAGUGCUAAUACCGUAUAAUACCAACAACCGCAUGGUUGUUGGUUGAAAGAUGGUUCUGCUAUCACUAAGAGAUGGACCCGCGGUGCAUUAGCUAGUUGGUAAGGUAACGGCUUACCAAGGCAAUGAUGCAUAGCCGAGUUGAGAGACUGAUCGGCCACAAUGGGACUGAGACACGGCCCAUACUCCUACGGGAGGCAGCAGUAGGGAAUCUUCCACAAUGGGCGCAAGCCUGAUGGAGCAACGCCGCGUGUGUGAUGAAGGGUUUCGGCUCGUAAAACACUGUUAUAAGAGAAGAACGGCACUGAGAGUAACUGUUCAGUGUGUGACGGUAUCUUACCAGAAAGGAACGGCUAAAUACGUGCCAGCAGCCGCGGUAAUACGUAUGUUCCAAGCGUUAUCCGGAUUUAUUGGGCGUAAAGCGAGCGCAGACGGUUAUUUAAGUCUGAAGUGAAAGCCCUCAGCUCAACUGAGGAAUGGCUUUGGAAACUGGAUGACUUGAGUGCAGUAGAGGAAAGUGGAACUCCAUGUGUAGCGGUGAAAUGCGUAGAUAUAUGGAAGAACACCAGUGGCGAAGGCGGCUUUCUGGACUGUAACUGACGUUGAGGCUCGAAAGUGUGGGUAGCAAACAGGAUUAGAUACCCUGGUAGUCCACACCGUAAACGAUGAGUGCUAGAUGUUCGAGGGU
This 816-nucleotide ribosomal RNA is filed under the name Weissella paramesenteroides. RNAcentral describes it as "bacterial SSU rRNA". It matches the Rfam family "Bacterial small subunit ribosomal RNA", at positions 57 to 831 of the family's 1533-position model. The record is from RNAcentral. Lineage: Bacteria; Bacillati; Bacillota; Bacilli; Lactobacillales; Lactobacillaceae.